CCCCUUCCAAGAUAUACUGUACAAUGUUCCAUCAGAAAGUCCAAGCAGCAUAUGUUUGCUAUCACUAACAAUAUUGCUCAACGACAAAUCCUUUGCUGCAAAAGGAACUUGCUCAGUAAGAAGAAGAGAUAUAGUUGCUAGGGACAAAGCAGAAGGUUGUUUCCCACCAAUGUGUAUUUUUGUAUGGAAUCAAAUGUAAUGAAAUAAAAUUGAAAUGGAUUAACAAAAUGGUUUGAAGUUGGUUUCACAAUUGGUUUUUUGUUUAUGACUUGAGUGCUUGACUUUUGAAAAAUAACUUGACCGAUAAUGCACGUGAACAAAGCCAUGAAAUGAGACCAUAAGGUCAGGGUUUUGACAUAGUAUCCAUGGACCAAUAACUUGACUGGCAAGUGGCUAGAAACACAAGAAACUUGGUUGUUCAGAUGAUCAAGACCAUAUGUGCAUUAACAAUCACAUGAACAACACCAUGACUUUGGAUCAAAACCAAUCCUCAUGUAAAACCAAAGUUAGGUUAGGCCAAGCAUGCCAAACAAACAUAAAAAAUUCAGGAGCAAAAUCGGGGUAUGACAGUAAAACCAAAGUUAGGUUAGGCCAAGCAUGCCAAACAAACAUAAAAAAUUCAGGAGCAAAAUCGGGGUAUGACAGUUGCCCCUAUUUAAGCGUCUUCAACUAGAGAAUAUGAAGCAGGACGUUCUUCACAUGAUCGUAGUGGGAGAUGGUUAAAUACUAAGAAGACCCGGAUUUUGAUCAUGAAUCCCUAUGAAACAAUGCGUGUCAGCAUCGUCAAAGAAGCAAUCUCAAAAGAAAAAUCCGUCUGAUACGGUGAAAAUCGGCCUGAGUACCGAAACAGAAAGUUGACCUGGAUACCAAAAUAAAUGGUAACGUAGGAAUACCCAUGGCCUGAACGCCACACAUUAGUCUGAACACUAAGCAUUGGAAUAUGAGAGUAUCAAUGUUGGUCUGAUCACCGAAAAUCUGGUCUGAACACCACAAGUUCUUCGUCCUGAUUGUUGAGAACUUCUUCGAUCUGGAAAUCGGAAACUGGCCUGAAUGCCACUUCGGUCUGGAUACCGGGAACUGGCCUGAAUGCCACUUCGGUCUGUGCAAAGCUCCAGCUGUUUGAUUUCAGAAUUUUUUGGAAUAAUGUGAUUGGGCAUAGGAACCUUUAGGAGGUCUUUAGGCGAAACACCAUUCUCUAAAGAAUGUGGAAAUUGAGAAUUAUCAAAGCUAGCAGAAGGAUUUGGAUCAAAUUGAAAAGCUCCAUAGAACUGUGUAGGAGAUCAUAAAAUAAAAUGAGUAAUAUUGUUAUACAUCAAAACAAAAAUGAAUGCUGUAAACUCAGUUGAAUAUUUUGUGUAAAUCAGUGACCAAUUAACCAAAGAAAAUAAGUUCAAUUGGGAUGAAAUGUCCGAAAUUGGUGGUGCUCUAUGUUUAAAUUACCUCCCCCUUCCAAGAUAUACUGUACAAUGUUCCAUCAGAAAGUCCAAGCAGCAUAUGUUUGCUAUCACUAACAAUAUUGCUCCUGACAAAACAGUUGUAUAAAGAGUAGUGUCAAGAUCAUGUAGCAAAUGGCUUCAACUUUUGAUUACUACAUACAGAGUGAAGUGUAAAAUUUUGACACUUUUCAGAAAGUAUUGAGUAAUGGCAGUAUCAUGAGUUCAAUAUAGCAUAUUGCUUUAGAUAAUGCCAAUGGGUUAAAAGAAAUCGUGUAGACAUUCAAUUGUCACAAUAACUAAUGUCCCAUAUGGAUGCAGACUUCUAUAAGGAACAUAUCUUCGGAGCUAAUAUAAUAUUUCUUCAACUUUUGAUUUAUAAUAUACCUAACUCCUCUAUUCCUCAUUGCAUUUCUUAGGUAACUAGCAUGGUGGAACCAAAUUUUACGAAAAGUGAUAUGUAUAAAAUAAAUGCUGUUUUACUUAACACUCUAAGUUUUCGGGUAUUUGAUGCAUAACAGUUUAUCGAAGCCCCUAUGAACAAGUAAGUGGCUAAGAGUUCAAUACUUUAGAUCCUCAUUCCUCUAAUUAAAAGUUGUGUUUCAGCACAAGGUGGGCUGGUAUAUGCGUUGUCCAUGCUUUAAACUCAAAGGACUCAUGCUAGAGGGGGGUAUGUUGGACAUAAAUAACAUACAAACAUUAAUAUGUCUUCAUCUAGAAGCUAGGAUGGUUGGUUCAUGCCAGUAACCAAGAAAUCAAUCAACAUAUCUUUCAUCAAAAGAAAAAUAUAAUAUCCCGUGUAUACCAUACUUACAACAACAACAACCAAGUCUUAUCCCCAUAAGUGGCGUUGGCUGCAUAGAUCAACUUCCGCCAUAAUGUUCUAUCCAGGACCAUGCUUCUAUCAAACUCGUUAAUCUCGAGAACUUUCUUAAUAACUUCUCUUAUAGUUUUUCUAAGUCUUCCUCUACCUCUAGUUGUUUGACUCCUCUCCAUCUGAACUACUCUCCUUAUCAUAUAAUCUACAUGUCUUUUUCUACAUGCCCAAACCACCUAAGUCUAUUUUCCACCAUCUGCAUGCCCAUACUUAUAAAUACAAAAUCUUAUUCCACUAUAGGGCUCCAAUUCAUAUUCCAUAGUCCAUACCAAUAGUAGUUUUGUUCAAUUGCAUUAAUUCACAUAGAGAAAAGAAGUUUCAAAAACAAUACUAGCAAGAAACCUACAACGACAAAUCCUUUGCUGCAAAAGGAACUUGCUCAGUAAGAAGAAGAGAUAUAGUUGCUAGGGACAAAGCAGAAGGUUGUUUCCCACCAAUGUGUAUUUUUUUAUCCAAGAAUUGGACCUUGAAAAUGUGAAGAUAGAAAGAAGAUG
This 2804-nucleotide long non-coding RNA is filed under the name Lathyrus oleraceus (garden pea). RNAcentral describes it as "Pisum sativum (pea) long non-coding RNA (PSAT_LNC010302)". Lineage: Eukaryota; Viridiplantae; Streptophyta; Magnoliopsida; Fabales; Fabaceae. The record is from RNAcentral.